This is an RNA transcript of Prosopis cineraria, 2024 nucleotides long. It is a transcript of the gene named mRNA-decapping enzyme-like protein, with no coding region annotated. The transcript has 9 exons. NCBI's taxonomy places the organism in Eukaryota, Viridiplantae, Streptophyta, Magnoliopsida, Fabales, Fabaceae. The record is from RefSeq and is a predicted model, not a curated record.
UUCGUCGCCGUCAAUGCAGCUCGUCGACGAGAACCUGAGUCGGCUCGACUCAAAUCGUUCAAUUGCAUUGCUUCUCUCUUUCCUUUCUACCUUGGUUUCGACGUCUCCGAACUCCCAAUUCUAGGGUUUGUGCUGUAGAGAUAUACGAAAAUGUCUCAGAACGGAAAGCUGAUGCCGAAUCUGGACCAGCAGAGUACCAAGCUUCUCAACCUCACUGUUCUGCAAAGAAUUGACCCCUUUGUCGAGGAAAUUCUCAUAACCGCUGCGCACGUUACCUUCUAUGAGUUUAACAUCGAUCUCAGCCGAUGGAGCCGCAAGGACGUCGAAGGAUCACUAUUUGUUGUUAAGAGGACCACACAACCUCGAUUUCAAUUUAUUGUGAUGAAUCGUCGUAAUACUGAAAACUUGGUGGAGAAUCUUUUGGGAGAUUUUGAGUAUGAAGUUCAGGUUCCAUAUCUGCUGUAUAGAAAUGCUAAUCAAGAAGUGAAUGGUAUAUGGUUCUAUGAUGCUCAUGAAUGUGAAGAGGUGGCAACUCUUUUUAACAGGAUCCUUAAUGCCUAUUCCAAGGUUCCUCAAAAGUCUAAGGUUUCUUCUACAAAGAGUGAAUUUGAGGAGCUGGAAGCUGUGCCAACUAUGGCAGUUAUGGAUGGUCCUCUAGUAUCAUCACCUUCAACUGCUUUGAAUGCAGCUGUUGUAUCGGAUGGUCCUUCCUUUGUGAACUUCUUCGGUGCUGCUGUGACCAUUGGGAACACUACAAAUGCUCCAAUUACCGCACCACCUUACCAGUCUUCUGCCACAAUUCCUUCUACAUCUCUGCCGGUCAAUGAAGCUACUCCCAUUGCUCCUUCCUUGCAGUUCCCCUCUCAUUUAUCUCAUUUAUCAUCUAAAUCUCUAAGGUCUCGUCAUGACUCUCCUGAUUCCAGCAACAGCAGCAACCAAGCCACCAAUCUUGUGAAGCCUUCAUUUUUUGUCCCUACCCUUUCUUCAACAACGAUAAUCCCUCCUGUGUCUUUGUCCACACCAGCUGUCCCUCCACCUCAUACUGUUCUCAGCAUGCAGCGCCCAUAUGGUCCUCCACUGCUACAGCCAUUCCCAGCACCAACUCCACCCCCGUCUCUUACUCCUACUUCUGUACCCCAUACAAACUACGGGCCAGUUAUUACCAGAGAGAAGGUCCGAGAUGCGCUUCUGGUGCUUAUUCAGGACAAUCAAUUCAUUGACAUGGUCUACAAAGCGCUGCUGAAUGCUCACGAAUCGUGACUUUCUGGGUAUGCGGGCCAGGCAUCAAUCUUGUCCCACGCUUCAAAUGGUUCGGUCAAGAACUUUAAUUCGCAAGUUUGGUUAAGUGCUGAACGCGAUGGCUGAUGAUUAUUUGGGUCACCAUGGUUUUACUAGACUGUUGUGAUAGUCAGAAGAAGAAAAAGAAGCUCGUGGGACAAAUUUUAUUGCGAAAAGCUGCCAUAUCAGCAGUGACAUAUGAUUUGCUGGGAAAUAGGGGGACCCUGACUGUAAGAGCAUUUUACUGAAUUGAUUUCGCAAAUUGUGGUGCUUCACGGCGACAGUUCUCUAAUUUACAUGUGUCAAGUGUUGUUGAGCCUGGUUUUUUCCCCCGUGCAAGACGUGUAUAGAGCUACAGUUACUAGAUCCACAGAAAACGAUACUGCACAAUGCUAUUUUCAGAGUGUUAAUGGAGGAGCAUGGUAAAUGAAUUUGAAAUUCAUGCGAUGGUGUAACCUGACCACCGUCGCUGAUUGCUGGAGCUCCGAUGGUAGCCACGUAAUCAAUAGUGGUAAACUCUAAAAGGUGGUCAAGGGAAGUUGAAUUCAAGACUCCUUGGUUCUCCAAAACAUUAAAGACUAGUGAGCCAACUAAUAUUUUAAGAUGUAUAAUAAGUUGUUAAUAUGUGAGCAAUCACUGGUUAAUAUUUGAAUUUGAUUUGUCAAUGUUCAAAAAGCAAGUUGUUAAUUUCUAAAGACCGCUUGAUUCCUUGAUUAUUGGCAAUUUAUCAAUAUUACAUUAAAUAA